Coccinella septempunctata (seven-spotted ladybird) is the source of this 1338-nucleotide long non-coding RNA. RefSeq lists it as uncharacterized. The transcript has 3 exons. Lineage: Eukaryota; Metazoa; Arthropoda; Insecta; Coleoptera; Coccinellidae. The record is from RefSeq and is a predicted model, not a curated record.
AGAAUGCAUGAGGUUUGUUUUUACACAGAAUUUGGAAUACUUGUCCCUCAACAGAAAUUUCCUAGAAAGACAAUAUUAAUGGUGAAAUAAUUUCUUCAUCAUAUCUGCAACGAUGUCACUUCGAAGAAUGUCAUUUCGAGAUGGAACUAAAACACAUUUCAGGUUCGAGAUAUGUAAUUUUUGAAAAAGUCCAAGUUUCAAAUUUUGUAAUAGGUACUUAUGACAGGGGUUAUUUUUGAUCUUCUUUUUUCGACAAUUGUGGCACAACCUAUUUCUGUGUUAAUUCAGUAAAUUGUAGUUCUUGUCUGUUAAUUAUUCAAAUUCAACCGUCAACCAGAAGUAGCAAAAACUCAAAUAUUGAUUUUAUGUCCACAUCACCCGUUACUUCAACGAUUGCAAAAUUGUCGCAGCCAUUCUUAUCAUAUAGCGAAUUGUGCAAUUAUGCUCUGAGUGCAUAAUUUUGAACUCGCUACAAUAAUACCCGAAGAUUAUUAUUCCCUGUCAAGAUGAAUCGACAAAUGCGCGGUUUUCAACAGGAAUCUCGCGAUGGCAUGUAGACGGGAUCUACUGUGCUAUCUCGACUCGCGCGUAGCGAAUCGCGCGUUUCUCGCCUCAUCUGGACAGGCUAAUUUUACCAAUAGAAUUCACUGUUGUUGCCAAUUCCAUAAGAUGGACACUAGUGCAUAUUAUGAACUAAGAGAGAUUAUUUCAACUACCUAUGAAAGAUAAUGAUCAAUAGGCAUAAGAGCAGUUACUUGAUUUUCAUUUUUUCAUUGGAAUAUAUUACACGAAUAGACUCACCGAGUAUACAAGGUCUUCGUCGAUGCUCUCCAUCGCUCCAAGAUCCAACAAAAAGCAUUAUAAUAACAGGAGUUUUCCCCAGUUAAUGAAAUCUCUUAGAAGCGUAUUACCCCAUAAAACAGGAAUGAAAAAAUUACAUAUGAACAAAAACAUUAGGUAACUACUGUAUUUCGUGGCUUAAUGAGAAAACUGCCUAAAUCCGUAUCUGACAAUUUUACAGGAGCAAAAAUUACUAAAUAUUGGAAAGAGAUCCGCAAAAAUCAUUGAAUACUCAACCAUUUAGUAAGUAAUAGUUAACUAUAUUGAAUAUAUGUAAUUUGUUGCAGCAAAAAUGACUUAAACCAUUUUUUUUAAAUAGGUACCUACAAUCAGAGAUAGGCAUCUAAAACCCAUUUUCUUCUAGAAGUGGAGAAGGAGGAGGAAAUUUUCUUGGUAAAGCGACGAUUUGCAGUUUCUACAUCCACAUCAUUAUUUAUAAAAGAUUCUUUGCAUAUAAUAGUUUAAAAAAUAUUGAGUAAAAAUCAUAUAUUCACUCUA